RNAcentral lists this unclassified non-coding RNA (230 nucleotides) under uncultured fungus. RNAcentral's name for it is "sequence contains ITS2". Lineage: Eukaryota; Fungi. The record is from RNAcentral.
AACGCACAUUGCGCCCCUUGGUAUUCCAUGGGGCAUGCCUGUUCGAGCGUCUUAUAACCCCUCAAGCGCUGCUUGGUGUUGGGCGUUGUCCGGUGGACUCGCCCCAAAGUUAUUGGCAGCCGGCAGUUGGUCGAGAGCGCAGCACAUUGCCCUCUUGCCGAUGCGCCGCGCGUCCAGGGAGAAGACUAGCAUUUGGCCUCGGAUCAGGUAGGGAUACCCGCUGAACUUAA